This 228-nucleotide unclassified non-coding RNA is filed under the name Hevea brasiliensis (rubber tree). Lineage: Eukaryota; Viridiplantae; Streptophyta; Magnoliopsida; Malpighiales; Euphorbiaceae. The record is from RNAcentral.
UUCCUUGCUAGUCAAAUUCACUGUGACAUGACACCUCAAAAUUGAGUAAACCUUGUACUGUAGUUGUUACUUUUAUACCGAUGGUCAAUCAUGCAGGUAGGGUAGACAUUUAAGUUCAUCUUUGAGUCUCUACCAAUUUUAAGUGAUGAAAUGAUGCAUUUAUCAUUUGUUGUGAAGUGUCGCCCUCCAGGGCAGAUUUUGGCCGGAGAUGUCAGGGAGAUGAAAAUG